Molecule: ribosomal RNA, 253 nt
Filed under: uncultured bacterium
Lineage: Bacteria
Description: partial 16S ribosomal RNA
Rfam family: Bacterial small subunit ribosomal RNA
Source: RNAcentral
UACGGAGGGUGCGAGCGUUGUCCGGAAUCACUGGGCGUAAAGGGCGCGUAGGCGGCGCGGAAAGUCGUCGGUGAAAGCUCGGGGCUCAACCCUGAGUCUGCCGGUGAUACUCCCGCGCUCGAGCUCACUAGAGGCAGAUGGAAUUCCGGGUGUAGCGGUGGAAUGCGUAGAGAUCCGGAAGAACACCGGUGGCGAAGGCGGGUCUCUGGGCAAUAACUGACGCUGAGGAGCGAAAGCGUGGGGAGCGAACAGG